This 821-nucleotide long non-coding RNA is filed under the name Rattus norvegicus (Norway rat). RNAcentral's name for it is "long non-coding RNA NONRATT001802". Lineage: Eukaryota; Metazoa; Chordata; Mammalia; Rodentia; Muridae. The record is from RNAcentral.
GACUUGGUGGGUCUAUUGGAAGCCUUGUCCGACAUGGGUCUUCAUGAGGGAGUUAGGCUGCUGAAGGCGCCUGAGACCCGAGACAAGCUGCCCAGCACAGGUAAAGGCACCGGCUCGGAAGGUGUGCCUGGGCUGAGGGUAAGAGGCCUGAGGCUUGACUCCCCCCUGUCCCCUGGCAGAGGUGAAAGAAGACAGUGCCUACGGGAGCCAGUCAGUGGAGCAGGAGGCAGAGAAGCUGUGUCCACCCCCUGAGCCUCCAGGAGGGCUCUGCCACGGGCACCCCCAGCCUCAGGUGCACUGAAUGCUACCCGGUCAACUUCCACCUGGAUCCCUCUGUACAGCAUCCCUGCCUAAUUGAAAUCUUAUUUAAACUUCAAGCCCACACCUCAGUGGGCCAAAUAAAGGGAAAGACCCCUUCCCAGUUUACGGUACGGCAACCCCAAUGUCACGCCAGUCCCUGUCCCCGAGCAAGAACAGAGGAGGCCCAAGCCAGCAAUUCAGAGCAGUUUUAAUGAGGGUGAAGGCUAUACAAAGGGCAGGGCCCACCAGAGGAGGGAAGCAGGCCGUGCCACCCCAGCCUGUGGAUGGGGCCUCAGCAUGGACGCCUUUCCUCUGUCUCUGCAAAGAGAGAGGUGAGCCCUUGGGGAGAAAGAGGGGGACCAGCUCAGCCCCAACUCCUGGCCUCUGUCUGAGCCAGGCCCCAGGAUGGAGGGGUAUUGCUGGUGUAAGGGUGGGGGGGUCUCAGCAGAAAGCAGAAACUUUAUCAGGCCUCCCCACCCACAAAAAAAAGAAAAAAAAAGAAAAGAAAAAGAAGAGAAAAG